RNAcentral lists this ribosomal RNA (459 nucleotides) under uncultured bacterium. Its description in RNAcentral is "partial 16S ribosomal RNA". It matches the Rfam family "Bacterial small subunit ribosomal RNA", at positions 338 to 795 of the family's 1533-position model. The record is from RNAcentral.
CCUACGGGUGGCAGCAGUGAGGAAUAUUGGUCAAUGGGCGGAAGCCUGAACCAGCCAAGUAGCGUGCAGGAUGACGGCCCUACGGGUUGUAAACUGCUUUUAUACGGGAAUAACGCGCCUUACGUGUAGGGCUUUGCAUGUACCGUAUGAAUAAGGACCGGCUAAUUCCGUGCCAGCAGCCGCGGUAAUACGGAAGGUCCGGGCGUUAUCCGGAUUUAUUGGGUUUAAAGGGUGCGUAGGCGGGCAUUUAAGCCGGCGGUCAAAUUGCGGGGCUCAACCCCGGCCUGCCGUCGGAACUGGGGGCCUUGAGUGGGCGAGAAGUAUGCGGAAUGCGUGGUGUAGCGGUGAAAUGCAUAGAUAUCACGCAGAACCCCGAUUGCGAAGGCAGCAUACCGGCGCCCUACUGACGCUGAGGCACGAAAGUGCGGGUAUCGAACAGGAUCAGAUACCCGAGUAGUC